RNAcentral lists this ribosomal RNA (269 nucleotides) under uncultured Planctomycetales bacterium. RNAcentral describes it as "partial 16S ribosomal RNA". It matches the Rfam family "Bacterial small subunit ribosomal RNA", at positions 565 to 832 of the family's 1533-position model. The record is from RNAcentral. Lineage: Bacteria; Pseudomonadati; Planctomycetota; Planctomycetia; Planctomycetales.
GAGCACGUAGGUGGGUUUGUAAGUCAGAUGUGAAAGCCUUCUGUUCAAAGGAAGAACGGCAUCUGAAACUGCAGAUCUUGAGUGUAGGAGGGGAGAGUGGAACUUCUGGUGGAGCGGUGAAAUGCGUAGAUAUCAGAAGGAACGUCGGCGGCGAAAGCGACUCUCUGGCCUAUUACUGACACUGAGUGUGCGAAAGUUGGGGGAGCAAACGGGAUUAGAUACCCCGGUAGUCCUAACUGUAAACGAUGGGCACUAAGUAGAGGGGCUUU